CACGUAGGGCGCAAGCGUUUGUCCGGAAUUAUUGGGCGUAAAGAGCUCGUAGGCGGUCUGUUACGUCUGCUGUGAAAACCCGGGGCUUAACCCUGGGCUUGCAGUGGAUACGGGCAGACUAGAGGCAGGUAGGGGAGAAUGGAAUUCCCGGUGUAGCGGUGAAAUGCGCAGAUAUCGGGAGGAACACCGGUGGCGAAGGCGGUUCUCUGGGCCUGACCUGACGCUGAGGAGCGAAAGCGUGGGGAGCGAACAGG
Molecule: ribosomal RNA, 254 nt
Filed under: uncultured bacterium
Lineage: Bacteria
Description: partial 16S ribosomal RNA
Rfam family: Bacterial small subunit ribosomal RNA
Source: RNAcentral